Schistosoma curassoni is the source of this 46-nucleotide non-coding RNA. The record is from Rfam. Lineage: Eukaryota; Metazoa; Platyhelminthes; Trematoda; Strigeidida; Schistosomatidae.
GUAAAGGCCCUUUUCAGGGCCACCCACAUUUUUUUAUCCACUACUU